Molecule: unclassified non-coding RNA, 310 nt
Filed under: Hevea brasiliensis (rubber tree)
Lineage: Eukaryota; Viridiplantae; Streptophyta; Magnoliopsida; Malpighiales; Euphorbiaceae
Source: RNAcentral
AGAGAGAGAGAGAGAGAGAGAGCUUUCCUCUGUGUUGCAAUGUAAAUUUUAUUUUAGAGAUUAUGCAGUAGUCAGAAUUUCGAACUACUAUCUUCAAAUGCUUUGCAAAACAAAUUUGAUGAGAAAUCCGCACGUGCUUAUGAAGUCAUAAUUUAUUCAAUGUUUGAGCUUAUCCAAGUAGUAAACAUCAGGAGCUCAUUAAAUCACUGAUUACUUACCACCCAAAUUGUUUGGCUGUAUGGACAACAAAAAUAAGUACAAAGAGUUCAAAACCUUAGCAUUCUCCCCAAACUCUCUCUUGAAGAUUCCA